UACGUAGGGUGCAAGCGUUAAUCGGAAUUACUGGGCGUAAAGCGUGCGCAGGCGGCUUUGCAAGACAGAUGUGAAAUCCCCGGGCUCAACCUGGGAACUGCAUUUGUGACUGCAUGGCUAGAGUACGGUAGAGGGGGAUGGAAUUCCGCGUGUAGCAGUGAAAUGCGUAGAUAUCGAGGAGGAACACCGGUGUGCAGACGGCAUCCUGUGGACCGUAACUGACGCUGAGACACGAAAGCG
Molecule: ribosomal RNA, 240 nt
Filed under: uncultured bacterium
Lineage: Bacteria
Description: partial 16S ribosomal RNA
Rfam family: Bacterial small subunit ribosomal RNA
Source: RNAcentral